Molecule: ribosomal RNA, 460 nt
Filed under: uncultured bacterium
Lineage: Bacteria
Description: partial 16S ribosomal RNA
Rfam family: Bacterial small subunit ribosomal RNA
Source: RNAcentral
CCUACGGGAGGCAGCAGUGAGGAAUAUUGCUCAAUGGACGAGAGUCUGAUCCAGCCAAGUCGCGUGAAGGAUGACUGACCUAUGGGUUGUAAGCUUCUUCUAUAUGGGAAUAAAACAGGGUAUGCAUACCCUCUUGUAUGUACCAUAUGAAUAAGGAUCGGCUCACUCCGUGCCAGCAGCCGCGGUAAUACGGAGGAUCCGAGCGUUAUCCGGAUUUAUUGGGUUUAAAGGGAGCGUAGGUGGAUUGGUAAGUCAGUUGUGAAAGUUUGCGGCUCAACCGUAAGAUUGCAGUUGAAACUGGCAGUCUGGAGUGCAGUAGAGGUAGGCGGAAUUCGUGGUGUAGCGGUGAAAUGCUUAGAUAUCACGAAGAACUCCGAUUGCGAAGGCAGCUCACUGGACUGCAACUGACACUGAUGCUCGAAAGUGUGGGGAGCAAACAGGAUUAGAUACCCCAGUAGUC